GGGCCCUGGAGAUGGUGCGGCCGCCCGGGCCCCCCCGCGCUGGCUACGGCUGCCCGCUCCUAAGUGACUUGACCCUGUCGCCUGUGCCAAGGGACUCCAUGCUGCAGUUGCAGGACACAUACAGGUACCCCGGCUUUGUGCCGCAGGGCCACCCGGGCCUGGGGGGUGCCCCGAAGAGCAGCUUCCUGGGGCCCAUGGGGGAGCCGCACCCUGAGGACACUUUCACCGUCACCUCCCUGUAGUGCCAACUGAAGUGCCAACUGGACAAUGAGGUUUUCUAACAGGCUUUCAGAAACCAACGCCAAGAUCCCUCCCGUCAUCCCCAACCUCCCGCAGGAGCAACUCACUUCCUCUGCCUCCUCUCCUGACUGCCCCCCAUCUUGGAAUCCCAAAGCCCCCUCCUCCUUUUCCAUGGCCUACCCUGGACCCUGGGAACCCCCUCCCUCUCCCCCACCCCACCCCCCACGCAGAAGCGGAAGGUGAGCUCUUUCUGCACAAAACCAGCAAUUGUAAAUACUUUUUAAAAAUGUACAAAACAAAACAGAACACAGUUUUAGACAAAAAAAAGACAAAAAAAAGAGCGAGCGAGAGAUUGCGAGAACGAGCGAGAGAUUGCGAGAGCGAGAGAGGCCGAGCAGUGCCCGAGCAGCUCCUCCAGUAUGCACUGAGAAAUUUAUUUACAGGUCGUUAGAGAGAAAGGAACAAUACCCUAUUUAUUGUAUAUACUGUUUUAUUAUAAAUUGUGGAUUGCAUAUUGCACCCUGUACAUCUGCUGUGGUUCCGUGGUGUGCAAAUACGCAUGGUGGGGGGUGGGGGGGCGGUUCUCUAGGGACAGCUUUUCUUUCUGGUUUUUUCACUCCUUUUGGGUUGUUUUCUUUUUUCUGUUGUUGUUGUUGUUUUCUGUUGGCAGGACACACCCAAAGAUCCAAAUUUGUAUUAAAAAAAAUUAAAUGGAAAAAGCAAAAAAAAAAAAAAAAAAAAAAAAAGUCAAUAAUUCUUGUGUUGGCC
Molecule: long non-coding RNA, 1008 nt
Filed under: Sarcophilus harrisii (Tasmanian devil)
Lineage: Eukaryota; Metazoa; Chordata; Mammalia; Dasyuromorphia; Dasyuridae
Description: lncRNA (ENSSHAG00000023120.1)
Source: RNAcentral